RNAcentral lists this unclassified non-coding RNA (305 nucleotides) under plant metagenome. RNAcentral's name for it is "partial contains 5.8S ribosomal RNA, internal transcribed spacer 2, and large subunit ribosomal RNA". The stretch from base 1 to 105 matches the Rfam family "5.8S ribosomal RNA", at positions 50 to 154 of the family's 154-position model. The record is from RNAcentral.
GAAAUGCGAUAAGUAAUGUGAAUUGCAGAAUUCAGUGAAUCAUCGAAUCUUUGAACGCACAUUGCGCCCGCCAGUAUUCUGGCGGGCAUGCCUGUUCGAGCGUCAUUUCAACCAUCAAGCCCCCGGCUUGUGUUGGGGACCUGCGGCUGCCCGCAGGCCCUGAAAAACAGUGGCGGGCUCGCUGUCACACCGAGCGUAGUAGCAUACAUUCUCGCUCAGGGCGUGCUACGGGUUCCGUCCGUUAAACGACCUUCAUAACCCAAGGUUGACCUCGGAUCAGGUAGGAAGACCCGUUGAACUUAAGC